This 71-nucleotide transfer RNA is filed under the name uncultured Ruminococcus sp. It matches the Rfam family "tRNA". From Rfam's summary of the family: Transfer RNA (tRNA) molecules are approximately 80 nucleotides in length. Their secondary structure includes four short double-helical elements and three loops (D, anti-codon, and T loops). Further hydrogen bonds mediate the characteristic L-shaped molecular structure. tRNAs have two regions of fundamental functional importance: the anti-codon, which is responsible for specific mRNA codon recognition, and the 3' end, to which the tRNAs corresponding amino acid is attached (by aminoacyl-tRNA synthetases). tRNAs cope with the degeneracy of the genetic code in two manners: having more than one tRNA (with a specific anti-codon) for a particular amino acid; and 'wobble' base-pairing, i.e. permitting non-standard base-pairing at the 3rd anti-codon position. RNAcentral also lists the same sequence under 1 other name. Lineage: Bacteria; Bacillati; Bacillota; Clostridia; Eubacteriales; Oscillospiraceae. The record is from RNAcentral.
GGGGUAUAGCUCAGAUGGUAGAGCGCUUGGUUCGCAUUCAAGAGGUCAGGGGUUCGAUUCCCCUUAUCUCC